CCAGACUCCUACGGGAGGCAGCAGUGGGGAAUAUUGGGCAAUGGAGGCAACUCUUACCCAGCAAUGCCGCGUGAAUGAAGAAGGUCUUCGGAUUGUAAAGUUCUUUAAUUGGGGACGAAAAAAAUGACGGUACCCAAGGAAUAAGCCCCGGCUAACUACGUGCCAGCAGCCGCGGUAAUACGUAGGAUGCGAGCGUUAUCCGGAUUUAUUGGGUUUAAAGGGUGCGUAGGCGGCAUUAUAAGUUAGUGGUAAAAUAUUGGGGCUUCACCUCACUACGCCAUUAAUACUGUAGAGCUAGAGAACAGACGAGGUAGGCGGAAUAAGUUAAGUAGCGGUGAAAUGCAUAGAUAUAACUUAGAACACCGAUAGCGAAGGCAGCUUACCAGACUGAGUCUGACGCUGAUGCACGAGAGCAUGGGCAGCGAACAGGAUUAGAUACCCUAGUAC
Molecule: ribosomal RNA, 447 nt
Filed under: uncultured bacterium
Lineage: Bacteria
Description: partial 16S ribosomal RNA
Rfam family: Bacterial small subunit ribosomal RNA
Source: RNAcentral